CCAAUAGCGUAUAUUAAAGUUGUUGCAGUUAAAAAGCUCGUAGUGGAAUUUCGGGAUCAAAUUGUCGGUCGUGCCUCGGUACGCACUGUUAUUAUUGGUUACUACCUUUUGAAGCACCGCGAUGUCAUUAAUUUGGUGUCGUGGGGAAUCAGGACUGUUACUUUGAAAAAAUUAGAGUGUUUAAAGCAGGCGUACGCUUGAAUACAUUAGCAUGGAAUAAUGAAAUAGGACGUUUGAUUCUAUUUUGUUGGUUUCUAGGAUUGACGUAAUGAUUAAUAGGGAUAGUUGGGGGCAUUAGUAUUCAAUUGUCAGAGGUGAAAUUCUUGGAUUUAUUGAAGACUAACUACUGCGAAAGCAUUUGCCAAGGAUGUUUUCAUUAAUCAAGAACGAAAGUUAGGGGAUCGAAGACGAUCAGAUACCGUCGUAGUCUUAACCAUAAACUAUGCCGACUAGGGAUCGGAUGAUGUUAAUUUUUUAAUGACUCAUUCGGCGCCUUACG
RNAcentral lists this ribosomal RNA (499 nucleotides) under uncultured Glomeromycotina. RNAcentral's name for it is "partial small subunit ribosomal RNA". It matches the Rfam family "Eukaryotic small subunit ribosomal RNA", at positions 591 to 1092 of the family's 1831-position model. The record is from RNAcentral. Lineage: Eukaryota; Fungi; Glomeromycota.